Molecule: ribosomal RNA, 253 nt
Filed under: uncultured bacterium
Lineage: Bacteria
Description: partial 16S ribosomal RNA
Rfam family: Bacterial small subunit ribosomal RNA
Source: RNAcentral
UACAGAGGGUGCAAGCGUUAAUCGGAAUUACUGGGCGUAAAGCGUGCGUAGGUGGUUUGUUAAGUCAGGCGUGAAAUCCUGGGGCUCAACCUCAGAAUUGCGCUUGAUACUGACAGACUCGAGUGUGGUAGAGGAUAGUGGAAUUCCCGGUGUAGCGGUGAAAUGCGUAGAUAUCGGGAGGAACAUCAGUGGCGAAGGCGGCUAUCUGGACCAACACUGACACUGAGGUAAGAAAGCGUGGGUAGCAAACAGG